CUACAAACCAGGAAAGAGCAGUGCAGCAACCAAAGCAGAAGCACCAGGAGGAACAAAUACUGCCCCAAGUGUCGAAGCCUUUGGCCCAGACGUAUUUCGCCACCACUACCAAAGAAACAGCAGUCACACCAAAGGAGCAAGACAGAUAGGAUCAAAAACUGUCGCUGGUGCCAGACUCAACAAAUGCCACCACCAAGGCAGAAGCCACAACAAAGGAGGACCC
This is a long non-coding RNA of Scomber scombrus (Atlantic mackerel), 223 nucleotides long. RefSeq lists it as uncharacterized. Lineage: Eukaryota; Metazoa; Chordata; Actinopteri; Scombriformes; Scombridae. The transcript has 3 exons. The record is from RefSeq and is a predicted model, not a curated record.